AAAUUAAACAAAUAUUUAAAAUCAGAUGAAAAUGCGAUGGUGAUGGAGUUGUAAUUGUAACAACCUGUAAGAGAUUCUUCGUCGGCACAGAUCGAGCGAGAGAGAGAAGGAGAAAUGCGAGAAGAAGGGUUUGAGAGAGUAAAUGUUUGUUUGUUUGUUUCUCGCUCUAGAGUUUUGUUUCUCUCUCUAGCUUUUCAUGUGAUGGAAACUCUUGUGGUUGAGUAUUUAUACACGAGAAAGGGGC
RNAcentral lists this long non-coding RNA (244 nucleotides) under Trifolium pratense (red clover). RNAcentral's name for it is "long non-coding RNA (TPRA_LNC012051)". The record is from RNAcentral. Lineage: Eukaryota; Viridiplantae; Streptophyta; Magnoliopsida; Fabales; Fabaceae.